Molecule: ribosomal RNA, 329 nt
Filed under: uncultured eukaryote
Lineage: Eukaryota
Description: partial 18S ribosomal RNA
Rfam family: Eukaryotic small subunit ribosomal RNA
Source: RNAcentral
CCCUUAGAUGUUCUGGGCCGCACGCGCGCUACAAUGAUGAAUUCAACGAGUUUAUAACCUUGGUUGAAAAGCCUGGGUAAUCUUUUGAACUUUCGUCGUGAUGGGGCUAGACCCUUGCAAUUAUUGGUCUCCAACGAGGAAUUCCUAGUAAACGCAAGUCAUCAGCUUGCAUUGAUUACGUCCCUGCCCUUUGUACACACCGCCCGUCGCACCUACCGAUUGAAUGGUCCGGUGAAAUCUUCGGAUUGAGACUUUGAUUUCUUCACGGAAAACGCUGUUUUAAAAAGUUGAUUAAACCUUACCAUUUAGAGGAAGGUGAAGUCGCAACA